Long non-coding RNA from Gastrolobium bilobum, 835 nucleotides. RefSeq lists it as uncharacterized. The record is from RefSeq and is a predicted model, not a curated record. NCBI's taxonomy places the organism in Eukaryota, Viridiplantae, Streptophyta, Magnoliopsida, Fabales, Fabaceae. The transcript is spliced from 3 exons.
AAGUUACUGAACCUUGAUUCCUAUAGUAGCCGAUGUCAUUCCCUACUCUUCUCACUUCAUGCGCCAAAAAGAAGCACCAACAAAAAUAAGAGGAUGCUCCUCCUUCAACUCAGAAUUUAAUCCAACCUGGUCCUUCUCAUUUACACACUCAAAUCGUGAACUCUCAGGGAGAAAAACAGAAUACUUGAACACAUUCUUCUUUCUAGUUCAGCCGUGUAACCAUUAGCAAGGAGGCUGAAGCUCAACACCCUUUCCCUUCCUCUUGUGCGCACAACCCACUUCAAGUAAGAGAAGGUAAGGUAUUCUUCGCUGCCCUCUAGUUUCCCCUACUUGGAUCGAUUUCUGAUCAAGCCUUUCUUUUGUUGGACCAUGGUUCUGCCUUGUUGGAGUCACUCAUUCCCUGCAUGCAGCUGGUUCCUACGUUUUGGGGCAGUGGAGAGUGAAGUGGUUGCCCUUCACUCGAAUGGAUGACCCUUGGAUGCAGCCAAGAAGUUAAAUUUGAGUCCCAAGCUUUCCCUUCCUUCUCUGUUUCGGUCCCCCUUGCAUGUGCGCAAGAUCCUAGCUCAUUGGACUGUUUGAUCGAUAUUUGGCUGUUUGAUUGAUGCUUGGAUUCACAAGGAGAACUUAGAAGCUUGUGAAGAAGUAUUUGAUGACAUGAUUUCAUGGAACUGUUAUGUUUAAGUUUUGCUGCCUGGGAAAUCCUGCUGUUUAAUUGAUGUUACUGUUGGGUGUAUAUUGUAUGUUCUGUCUUGAUGUAGCCUUUGAGAUUGGCAUUUUAUGAUGUAUAAUUUGUUUUGACAAGAGUUGUGACAUGAUUUUUAUAUUCCGUCUGACU